Molecule: long non-coding RNA, 273 nt
Filed under: Anas platyrhynchos platyrhynchos (common mallard)
Lineage: Eukaryota; Metazoa; Chordata; Aves; Anseriformes; Anatidae
Description: lncRNA (ENSAPLG00000021223.1)
Source: RNAcentral
AUGUCAAUACCCAGCCUUGCACCUUGCUCAUCCUCACCCCAACCUGCUGAGUUGCCUCCUCAGCUUGGCCUCCACCCUGUCUCAUCACCAUGGGCCUGCCUGGUGAUCCCUGGGUGGUGGCUGACACCAGGUACACUGCCAUCACCGAACACCGCUGCACUGGAUCCUCUUGGAAAGAUGUGUUGGAUGGCUUUAGAGCCUGGAUCCAUGGAUGAUGUGAGUGUCCAGGAGGUCUUCUGUGGCUUACAGACUCUGCUGGGAGGUAAUUCCUAG